AUGAAUCCGUCGUCGCCUUUAUCUUUUAGUCCUUUGAAGAGCCUUGAGAAUGGAAAUCAUGAGAGAUUUUUCCAUGGGGGAAGUUCUUUUUACGAGACGUUUAUUCAGAUUGAUUUCUCGGCACCCCGCGGGGCGGGCAACGGGCGGGGCUUCCAGUGCACCUUCUGCGCAGUGGAGCCGCGGAGGCUCAGCUGGACAGUGGUCGGGUCGUGGGGCUGGAGGGCGGGAGCGGGGGAAGGGAAAAGCAAAAGCGGGGAAAGAAGCCGGAGAGCGGUGGACCAGACAUCUAGACCUGAAAGGCUCGUGCGGAGGCAGAGGCGGGAUCUUCCGGAGGAAUUGCGAAAAGCCUUGCAGCAGCUACAAGAAGAAUUGCAGAAUAAGAGCCAACAGCUUCGUGCCUGGGAGGCUGAAAAAUACAAUGAGAUUCGAACCCAGGAACAAAACAUCCAGCACCUAAACCAUAGUCUGAGUCACAAGGAGCAGUUGCUUCAGGUGAGUUUAUAUGAUUUCAAUGAACACUGGGCUCAUAGAACUCUGAAAUUUGUUUAUAUAAUUUUAAGAUAUUAAUCCACCUGUGCUGAGUCCCUACUAUAUGGAAAACAUUGAGAGGUGGGAAUCAGGAGGAUUUAAAAUAAAUAGAAAAUAUAAUUUGUGAAUUAAGAUGCUUACUAACAAGUGUAAGAAACAGUACAUAUAGCCCUGAUUUAUGCAGUCUUUUAUGAAGUCUUUUAUAAAGACUUAAUAUUCAGAAAAUAGUUAUUAAGCACCUCUGUGAGUCAAACACUUUUCUGGAUGUUGGGAAGACAAAAGAUUUGGCUACUGAUCUCAGUGUAAUAGAUGAAGACAAACUGUACAGAAACUUCCAAAGAGUAAUUUUGAUGAUAGAAUGAAAGUUUGAGGGGAAGAUGGAGCAUUAAGAAGAGACUGAUCUGUUCUGCCACCUACUCUAAGCUUCAGUCACAUUGAAUCCACUACAUUUCACUGAAUGUACAAUUUUUUCAUUGUAUGCAUAGUGUGCAUAUUUUUUUUUCUCUAACAUGUCCUCCUCUCCCUUCUUCACUUAGAAAAUCCUAGUCCUUUAAUUAAGACUCACUGCAAAUAUUACCUCCUCUGUGAGGUCUUUACUGACACCUGCAGGCAGAGUUAGGCAGUGCAUCCUGUGUUCCCCUGGUGGCUAGCGUAUGUUGCACAACAGUUAAUUCUAUGUGUUGUGUCUGAUGUAUGUUGCAGAAUACUUUACAAUUUAUGUCUGUUAUCUCUGCUAAACUUGUUACUUUUGAGGAGAGUGAUCACAUCUUGUUUUUUUAUCCUGAAUAACUAACAAAUUACUUGGCAAUUUAGUUAAUAUUGGAUAAAAGAAUAAAAGAAACGAUGUUUUGGUCUCAGGAAUUUCGGGAGCUCCUACGGUAUCGAGAUAACUCAGACAAAACCCUUGAAGCAAAUGAAACGUUGCUUGAGAAACUUCGCCAGCGAAUACAUGAUAAAGCUGUUGCUCUGGAGGUAUGUAUCAUCAUUUCGCCCACUAUGCUAUGGAUUAUUCUAUCUACAUAGGUAUUAUAGAAAUUUGUGUUUACUUAAAUUUGCUGGUUUUGGAUUUGGUUUUCUAUUCUGCCAUCGUGUUAAAUAACAGCGAUCAGGAUCGCUUAUUGAACAGAUGGUAUGUGAGCACUUGGAAAGUGGUGAGCAUUAGAAACCAGAAUUUCUCUAAGAGCAAGGUAGGACAGAUUAAAUAAGUGGAAUGAAGGGUUUUGCAAAGACAGAGAUGUACCAUUCUCCAGGCUGCGGGGAUGUUGAGCCAGCAUGCCUUCCACCACACAUAGGCCUUCCUUCCUGCUCCUUAGCUCUGUU
This 1848-nucleotide long non-coding RNA is filed under the name Pan troglodytes (chimpanzee). RNAcentral's name for it is "lncRNA (ENSPTRG00000053374.1)". The record is from RNAcentral. Lineage: Eukaryota; Metazoa; Chordata; Mammalia; Primates; Hominidae.